Molecule: ribosomal RNA, 174 nt
Filed under: Triticum aestivum (bread wheat)
Lineage: Eukaryota; Viridiplantae; Streptophyta; Magnoliopsida; Poales; Poaceae
Description: partial small subunit ribosomal RNA
Source: RNAcentral
AUGGGGAUACAUCCUCUCACUGCCAAUUUUGUUAAUGCCUCCUCGCCGAAGGUUUCCAUGAAAAGAGGAGGAUGGUCUAGCCCCCCGACGGGGUUUGUUAAACUUAACGUUGAUGCUUCUUUUGACCAUGACCUACUCAGGGGUACGAUGAGGGUGGACUUAAGAGAUCAUUAA